This is a long non-coding RNA of Homo sapiens (human), 2061 nucleotides long. The record is from Ensembl. Lineage: Eukaryota; Metazoa; Chordata; Mammalia; Primates; Hominidae.
UCAAAAGAUUCUCAGGAUGAUGGAGUGAGUGAUGGAAUAGGUUGCCAACUGUAGUUACUCCACUCAGCACAGAAUGGCUGCGGGGAAAUAUAAUCAGACAUGCCCAAAGAAGUCUGCUUAGGGUGAAACAAAUACCUUUGAGGUUUAAAUCAGAAAGGAAGGAGAGACUGUUUCUACAGGUGUCAUACAAAAAUCAAUACUGAGCCAAGGAUUAUUGGAUCCCAUAGAACCACGGAGACUUGGUAGUGAAAUUCUUCCAAAGAUGGUGUUCCUAGGUUUGGAAAUAUAAAUCCCAUGGGAAGUCAGCUGAAGACCAUUUUAUGCAUCACUCAUCCUGUUAGAGCCCUGUGCUGUUCUGUCUCUCUAUAAGACUGGCUGAAACCACCACGGUUGUUUACAAUUUAUGCUCUAACUUUGGAUCACCUAGUUAAUACUCUAACUCCGAUUAUUACCAAAGACAAUGUUCUAUAAAAGAUAUUGUCUAUUAGAAGGAUGCUUCUGCAUUAUUAAUAAAAUCACAGGGAAAAUGCAACAUUUUGGAUGUCACAUCUGAUAAGUGGGUGACUGAUCGUACCCGCCAGCUGGCUAAUGUCAUAAUUAACAAAGUUGCUACUACAUCUGCAAAGUUUAAUCGAAAAAUUUGCCAGUGAUAUGAUGGCCUUGUCACAGAGAUCACAAGGGACACGGAGUUGACUUUUGCUCAAGGUGGAACGACAGAGCUGUGUAGGCAAGAUGAGAAAUUGCGAACUUGUUCGGCCAAAGGAGGCUAAUAAUGAAGGGGCCGGGAAGGAGGCCAGUGCUACCAGGGUUAUCUCACAACCUCAGAUGCUGGAUAAGUCGACGGAGGCAGAAUCGCUUUGGGAUGACAUUCAGAAAGCCUGGAGUGAUUACUUGCAAGAGAAAAGCCUACCUAUUCUUUCCAAGGUGCAGGAAUAUUCCCCUGACCUGCUCAUCCAGUGGUCCAGUAAUGAAUUACUGGAGACCUGCCUUAGACAAAGAAUGCACUCGGAGCCCCAACACACCUAAAGCCAUGCUUUGAAGGAUCUGCCAAGCUCACUUUUAAUCAUGAGAAAGAAAUUACCCACACGGAGUCAGCAGAAAAUGAGAAAGUAGAGCUCGUGCUGUGAAUAAUUCCAGCAAGUGCCAAGGGGCUAGUUGAGGAAUGGCUUCAUGAGAACAUGCUCUAGGGGAACUAUUAAUAGCCCACCAGUCGGGUAGGCAGCAUUCAAUCCUUCUAUGCCUUCUUUCGCCACCUGUUGAGGUCUUUCUUCUGAAACAAAGAAGAAAUAGACAAAUCAGACUUGCCCUCUUGGAAAUGUGGUCCAGAUUUCUCUACUCCCAAGCUCCAAAAAAGGUAUACAUUGGAUGGGCUAGAUCAACUCCUCCUGAGAGCCAUAAAUCCGCCAAGAGUUGUUUUCCAUGUAAGGGUGUGGUACAAUGGGGAACACCUGAUGUUGGAGGAAAGCAGGAGGACUUUAGAGUGGAGUUGCAUUCUAAUCUCUCUGCCGCUUCAACUAUGUGACCUGGGGCAAAUGAUAUAAACUCUAUGAGCCUCUUUCCUUAUCUUUAAAAUGAAGAGAAGUAAUACCUACCUUGUAGGGCUGUUGUGAGGAUUAAAUGAAGUAAUGCAUACAGUGCCUAACAAAGUAUUUAACAUCAUAUUUUUUAAAAGCUCAUGAAAUAUUAGUUUUUCUUCCUUCCCCUCUUUCUAUUUUCUCUCCUGUUCCCUUUUCUCUCCCUCCUCUGCCCUCUCCUUCCUUCAGAUGUUAGUCUAAAACAGCACCUUGGAUCUAAGCAGCACCUUUGAGAAAGAAAAGACUGCUUCAAGAAUGUCUAGUUGCACCUCCUUUCCGUAUGUGGCCUAAAUGCCUAGGUUGGAUCAAUAGUUUAAUUUUUUUAUUGAACUGUUUAAUAUUGACUAUGGACUUACAUUCACUUUUACUGUUUUCUGUAUAUUUACUUUUGCUUGAAGUGUUUUAAUAUUGACUAUUUACCUCUGCUCAUUUUUAUUGAUUUUCUGUAUUUUUUCAAUGAAAAUUAUAAUAAAAAUUAUUUUUGUUA